RNAcentral lists this ribosomal RNA (368 nucleotides) under uncultured bacterium. RNAcentral's name for it is "partial 16S ribosomal RNA". It matches the Rfam family "Bacterial small subunit ribosomal RNA", at positions 355 to 715 of the family's 1533-position model. The record is from RNAcentral.
UGGGGAAUUUUGGACAAUGGGCGAAAGCCUGAUCCAGCAAUGCCGCGUGUGUGAAGAAGGCCUUCGGGUUGUAAAGCACUUUUGUCCGGAAAGAAAUCCUUGGCUCUAAUACAGUCGGGGGAUGACGGUACCGGAAGAAUAAGCACCGGCUAACUACGUGCCAGCAGCCGCGGUAAUACGUAGGGUGCAAGCGUUAAUCGGAAUUACUGGGCGUAAAGCGUGCGCAGGCGGUUUGCUAAGACCGAUGUGAAAUCCCCGGGCUCAACCUGGGAACUGCAUUGGUGACUGGCAGGCUAGAGUAUGGCAGAGGGGGGUAGAAUUCCACGUGUAGCAGUGAAAUGCGUAGAGAUGUGGAGGAAUACCGAUGC